This 75-nucleotide transfer RNA is filed under the name bacterium. Its description in RNAcentral is "tRNA-Val". It matches the Rfam family "tRNA". Rfam says of the family: Transfer RNA (tRNA) molecules are approximately 80 nucleotides in length. RNAcentral also lists the same sequence under 3 other names. The record is from RNAcentral.
GGGCCGUUAGCUCAGCCUGGUUAGAGCGCCUGCUCGACACGCAGGAGGUCAGAGGUUCAAAUCCCCUACGGCCCA